GACGAACGCUGGCGGCGUGCUUAACACAUGCAAGUCGAACGAAGAGCGAUGGAAGCUUGCUUCUAUCAAUCUUAGUGGCGAACGGGUGAGUAACGCGUAAUCAACCUGCCCUUCAGAGGGGGACAACAGUUGGAAACGACUGCUAAUACCGCAUACGAUCUGACCUCGGCAUCGAGGAUGGAUGAAAGGUGGCCUCUAUUUAUAAGCUAUCACUGAAGGAGGGGAUUGCGUCUGAUUAGCUAGUUGGAGGGGUAACGGCCCACCAAGGCGAUGAUCAGUAGCCGGUCUGAGAGGAUGAACGGCCACAUUGGGACUGAGACACGGCCCAGACUCCUACGGGAGGCAGCAGUGGGGAAUCUUCCGCAAUGGACGAAAGUCUGACGGAGCAACGCCGCGUGAGUGAUGACGGCCUUCGGGUUGUAAAGCUCUGUUAAUCGGGACGAAAGGCCUUCUUGCGAAUAGUUAGAAGGAUGACGGUA
RNAcentral lists this ribosomal RNA (479 nucleotides) under Veillonella dispar. RNAcentral's name for it is "bacterial SSU rRNA". It matches the Rfam family "Bacterial small subunit ribosomal RNA", at positions 28 to 477 of the family's 1533-position model. The record is from RNAcentral. Lineage: Bacteria; Bacillati; Bacillota; Negativicutes; Veillonellales; Veillonellaceae.